AAUACGUUCCGGGCCUUGUACACACCGCCCGUCACACCACGAAAGUCGGCAACACCCGAAGCCGGUGGCCCAACCCUUUUGGGAGGGAGCCGUCGAAGGUGGGGUUGGCGAUUGGGGUG
Molecule: ribosomal RNA, 119 nt
Filed under: uncultured bacterium
Lineage: Bacteria
Description: partial 16S ribosomal RNA
Rfam family: Bacterial small subunit ribosomal RNA
Source: RNAcentral